Molecule: ribosomal RNA, 209 nt
Filed under: uncultured bacterium
Lineage: Bacteria
Description: partial 16S ribosomal RNA
Rfam family: Bacterial small subunit ribosomal RNA
Source: RNAcentral
UGCGUAGGCGGGUUGGUAGGUCGGAUGUGAAAACCUCACAGCUCAACUGGGGGGCCUGCAUUCGAAACCAUCAGCCUUGAGUACGGGAGAGGAAAGCGGAAUUCCUGGUGUAGCGGUGAAAUGCGUAGAUAUCAGGAGGAACACCGGUGGCGAAGGCGGCUUUCUGGCCCGAUACUGACGCUGAGGCACGAAGGCUAGGGGAGCAAACA